RNAcentral lists this ribosomal RNA (752 nucleotides) under uncultured prokaryote. Its description in RNAcentral is "partial 16S ribosomal RNA". It matches the Rfam family "Bacterial small subunit ribosomal RNA", at positions 28 to 798 of the family's 1533-position model. The record is from RNAcentral.
GAUGAACGCUGACAGAAUGCUUAACACAUGCAAGUCGAUUCGAUUUACCUUCGGGUAUUGAGGAUGGCGGACGGGUGAGUAACGCGUAAGGAACUUGCCUCUUGGUCUGGGACAACUGUUGGAAACGACAGCUAAUACCGGAUAUUAUGAGAUUCUCGCAUGGGAAACUUAUGAAAGCUAUAUGCGCCAAGAGAGAGCCUUGCGUUCCAUUAGCUAGUUGGUGGGGUAACGGCCCACCAAGGCGACGAUGGAUAGCCGGCCUGAGAGGGUGAACGGCCACAAGGGGACUGAGACACGGCCCUUACUCCUACGGGAGGCGGCAGUGGGGAAUAUUGGNNNNNGGGNNNNNAGCCUGAUCCAGCAAUUCUGUGUGCACGAUGAAGGUCUUCGGAUUGUAAAGUGCUUUCAGUUGGGAAGAAGAAAGUGACGGUACCAACAGAAGAAGCGACGGCUAAAUACGUGCCAGCAGCCGCGGUAAUACGUAUGUCGCAAGCGUUAUCCGGAUUUAUUGGGCGUAAAGCGCGUCUAGGCGGAAAAAUAAGUCUGAUGUUAAAAUGCGGGGCCCAACUCCGUAUUGCGUUGGAAACUGUUUUUCUAGAGUACUGGAGAGGUGGGCGGAACUACAAGUGUAGAGGUGAAAUUCGUAGAUAUUUGUAGGAAUGCCNANGGAGAANUCAGCUCACUGGNCAGANACUGACGCUAAAGCGCGAAAGCGUGGGGAGCAAACAGGAUUANAUACCCUGGUAGUCCAC